This 376-nucleotide ribosomal RNA is filed under the name Metaphire sieboldi (earthworm). RNAcentral's name for it is "partial 16S ribosomal RNA". It matches the Rfam family "Bacterial large subunit ribosomal RNA", at positions 1926 to 2541 of the family's 2925-position model. The record is from RNAcentral. Lineage: Eukaryota; Metazoa; Annelida; Clitellata; Crassiclitellata; Megascolecidae.
AACGGCCGCGGUAUCCUAACCGUGCAAAGGUAGCAUAAUCACUUGCCUAUUAAUUGUAGGCUAGAAUGAACGGGUUAACGAAAUAAAGACUGUCUCAAUUAAUUACCUAAAAAUUACUAUCUACCUGAAGAAGAGUAGAUAAUCUCGAAGGACAAGAAGACCCUAUAGAGCUUAAUUUUAAUUAUAGAACUAAACUAUAAAAAUAUUCGGUUGGGGCGACCCGGGGCUAAUCAAUCACCCACUACAUAAAAGAUAAAUUAAUCAAGUAAUUGACCCCUAAAAGAUCAUAAGAACAAGCUACCUUAGGGAUAACAGGCUAAUCCCACUCAAGAGUCCUUAUCAACAGUGGGGUUUGGCACCUCGAUGUUGGCUUAGG